This 8100-nucleotide long non-coding RNA is filed under the name Populus trichocarpa (black cottonwood). RNAcentral's name for it is "long non-coding RNA (PTRI_LNC000504)". Lineage: Eukaryota; Viridiplantae; Streptophyta; Magnoliopsida; Malpighiales; Salicaceae. The record is from RNAcentral.
CUGCAAAUAAAUUCGAAUUCAUGGAGUGUUGCACUUGAUUCGUAUGCGAAAAAGCUGCAAUUGUUUUUCGGAAAAGCUGGUAUUGCUAAUGCUAGUCUUGCUGUCGAAUGUAUAGAGACUGUAAGGCAUUUUUGUGCUCCAAGGGCAUAGCAAGAAAAUACAAAAGCAAUCCCAUAACAUAACAAAACUUCUAAAAACAGAAACUCUAGCAAGAAUCCAACAGAUGUUAUACUUGAAAAUUUUUUGAAAACCCAAAAGAUUGAAAAAAGAAGCUUGAACGGAACUCCCACCAUGUUAAUGCAACUGGAAUCGCUCCCCUCAUUCUUCCUCAACCACAGUGCCCUUCUCACUCACGUAGAUACCAUCAAGAAAUUUUCGGAUAUCCUUGUUCUUGACAUGACAUUUCUGUACAAAAGAGAGCACGUAAGAGCAUGAAAGCAAUCCAGUGACUUAGGAUGCAUCUUUCUCAUCCACAGGAACAAAAACUCUAUAUUGAGGAAAAAAGAAUACAACAAUGUGCUAAUGCUCAUGAGUACAUAUUCUAGUAUGAACAGAAAUGCUAGCACACACUAAAGAGAGAGAAAGCGACCUGGUUGAUCAAGGCUGCCGACCGUGAAACAAGCUCAAUAUCAUUGCCAUCUAGGACGAGCUCAUCCUUCACCUUUUCAGAUCGGAGAAUACUAACCCCGUCAAGCAUAUCAACCUUCCUAACCUGUAGAAAACGACUAUAACAACAUCAGAACAUGUCCAAAGCCAAUUACACGCCAAUCUACACCACAAAGUCUACAUUUUGUCACGGUAUUGCAAACACUGCAAUUCUACAAUAACUCCUAUCCAUGAAACAGAAACUUAAUCCCAGAAGCCAUAAUCAAAACAAUCUCCAUUUCAAAUAAUUAGAAUACAGCUAUCAGUAACAACCAAUUAUUCCAUACUACCAAUCUACAAUAACUCGAAUCCAUGAAACAGAAACUUAACCCCGUAUUCCAUAAUCAAAACAAUCUUCAUUCCAACCCAAUCCUUUGGGCCCUGGAAUCCGAGCUUAAUGUAUUAGAAGACUCAAAUGAAAUUUGAAAUAGCACAUUUAAUUCCCCCGUGUAAAAUGAAAUCAUCAGCAAAUCACCACAUUUAAUUCCAAACACUUAGCUAGUAAGAUACACUAGUAAAAACUGGCAUCCUUCAUUAUCAAUUCUGAAAACUCACUUCAAUUCUCUCAUAUAAAAAGAUCCUAAAACUAGGUUUCAUUUAACAUUACAAGGGUUUUACUAAGCCUCGCUGUAUUUCCAUUAAUAUUCUACUAAUUCACCAAUUACAGAUAUUUAUUUCAUGCUGCCGGAACCCAAAACUAAAACUUUCACCACCAUUAUUCACAUAUUAACUUUCUUGCAACUCUAAUAUUUCUAGCAACAAAGUCUUAAAAAAAAUGAAAAACCCUUGACCUCAUUUCUUAUAGCAUCACACCGGGAAUACCAGACGAGAAAUAAAAACCAAAACUUGGGAACAAAUUAUUACCUUCUUCUCGCCGAGAAAGUUCCGGAUCUCGAUAGCAGUGUUGCUGUUAGUGAUGGAAGCGUUGAUGGGAAAGUGAGCAUACACAAACCUCAUCUUGUAUCUGUACCCCUUGGUAACCCCAGUAAUCAAGUUCUCCACGUGGCUCAGGGCAGUCCUGAUAGCAGCACUGGUCUUUCUUGUUGCAAACCACGCAUCGAUCUUGAGCUUUCUCUUCCCUUCCUCGUCUUUGAUCAGCUGAAAAUCAAGAUUCAAAUGCUUGAAGUUCCUGCUCAGCUUGCCUCUUGGGCCUUCCACUUCUAUGAUUCUAGCACUGAUCUUGAUUUUCACCCCGUCGGGGAUGUCCAUGGUCUCGGACGACAGAAUUGUCUUCAUGGUUUGUGGCAGCCGUCUCUCUAGUCUGCUCUCUCUGUUUCAGAGUUGCCCCAAAACCCUACACAUAUUUUCUUAAAAAACCCUAGAAUUAUCAUGGCUGACUGGAGAUGACCAGGCCCUGUUUGGUGAUGGUUUAGAUUCAACCCAAGCCAAUCCAAGCCCAGCCCACAUUUGCUGCCUUUCAUUAUUGAUUUUAAAACUUUUUUUUUUUUAGUUUAAUUUUUUUUUAUCAUGUCGUCUGUGUUUUCUUUUUAGAAUUUUAAUACAUCGAUUUUUUUAACACAUUAAUCACGACUAAUUCAUGAAACUUUUUCAUAAGGAAAUUUAGAUAACGGCACUAAUUUAGUUUUGUUAUCCUUUUAUAAUUUUAUUUAUAUUAUUUGAGGUAUUGGUGAAGAUUAAAUAGAUGAAACCUAGAGAUAUUAUUGAGAAUUUAUUACAAUAUUUGUGAGAUAAAUGUCUUGGCUACAAAGGUUUUGGAGGAGUUAUUAUGUUGGGGCGUGAUAAAGUUUUCAGAAUAUUAUGGUUUUCUGAAAAUUUCCAAAUAUAAAAAUGAUGAGAAGUUUUUAUAUUUAUUCAAGACAAAUAAAAAGGGUACAAAGAAAAGAAAAUGUCAAGUUCCUUUAAGUUUAAAGAAAAUGCGGUUAGAUGUGGUUGGUUAGAUUUAGAUAUGAGUUUGUUAAAAAUUAUAAUUGAAAUUUAUGUAUAAUAAAAAACAUGUAUAAAAUGUUUGAUGAAGUGUGGUUGCGGUUGUUUUUCAAAGUGUUUUUUACUUUGAAAUGCUUCAAAAUAAUUAUUUUUACUUUUUAAAAAUUAUUUUUGAUAUCAGCGCAUCAAAAUGAUAUGAAAACACCAAAAAUAUAUCAAUUUUAAAAAAAAUAAAAUAAAAAUUAAUUUUUUUCAAAAGCGUUUUGAAACGCAAAAACAAACAGAAAUUUCACGAAACUCAGUUAAAAAAAGUAUGUAAAAACUGCGUUUCAAAGUUCAAACUCAAUCUUUUAGUGGGCCCCGUACUAUAAAACACAGUUUGGUUUGUUACCAAACACCUUACUGUGUUUGUUUCAACGCAAACGCAAAAGUUGGUGAAAAAUAAACACAGCUAUAGUUACAAACUCCAAUGAUAUUAGUUUUCUAUGUAGAGCUUGUUUGUUUUUUUAUUUCAAAUUUAAUUUUAAAAAAUAAUUAUUAUUAUAAUUCAAAACAUGCUUUUAAUCAUGUGGAAUUGGAGGAAGUGAAUCUAAAAAGAAUUGGUGAAUCAAAAUCUUAUAGCCCAAUCAUUUUAUUAUUGAUUUUGAUCUCACACUUUCUAUAGUAUAAAAUUAUAAAUUAAAAUAACCAUCUAGGUGGUGGUCCAGUGGUAAGAGUUUGGGACCAAGAGGUUUGCUCCCUUUGUGAUCUCAGGUUCGAGCCCAGUGGUUGCUCAUAUGAUGGCCACUGGAGGCUUACAUGGUUGUUAACUUUAGGGCCCGUGGGAUUAGUCGAGGUGCGCGCAAGCUGGCCCGGACACUCACGUUAAACUAAAAAAAAAACAUUAUAGAUCAAAACGUGUCGAUUUUGUUAAAUUUGUUUCUCUCUCUCAAGAGAAAAACAAUUUUUAUAAAGUAAUAUUCAAAGUAUUAAAAAUAUAUUCUCAUGCUUGACAUAUUAACUCAUUAUCAAAUCAUAGCUUAUCAAUUGUAAUCAAUGUUAGACUAUGUAGUAUAUUCCCUAACAUGACACUGAAGAACAAUUUUAACGCAGAAAAUUACAUGUGAAGUGGAGGAAAAUUAACUAAGAUUUGACACUAAAAAAGAAUUAUGCAUUUUAGGUCUAUAUGCAUAAAUCAGUUUAUUUUCAAUAAAAAGAAUUAUCAAAAUUGUCUUUUACGUAGAUUACAGUUUAUUUUGGUUUCUUGGAUUUAUGCAUAAAUCACAAAACAAAGUAAAUACAAUCCUUUAUCAGCCUGACAUGUGUGGAUGGUAAGGAGAAAAAAGAGAGAGAGUAAGAUUCACCGCUCAUUUAGUCAUAUAAGUGGGAUAAUAUGUAAUUUUAAAUUGUUUUGAUAUAUUAAUAUUAAAAAUAAUUUUAAAAAAAUAAUAUUAUUUUAAUACAUUUUAAAAUUUAAUCGUUAUUGUAAUCAUAAGCGCUAGCAAAGUUAACAUGACACUGCCUAAUUACUCGUUCUUUUAUAAAAAAACUAAAUGGUGUGUAGUUUUCAUUAUUCACCCUUACAAUAUUUAUGAAGACACAAAACACUGUGGAUUGAAGCAGUGUAAUAAAAUGAUUGUCCUUGCCAAAAACACUUGUUAGGGAUGCAGUUGGGUGCGGGGUUGUAUUUUCCAUGUGAUACAUUUGACAUUAAAAUUAUUAUUGUUGUUGUUUUUUAUUUUUAUUAUUGUUAUUAUUAUUAAAAUUAUUCAAGUAAACUUGGGUCAGAUAUGUUUGUCAGAUCCAGGCAACAUGGAUCAAAACAUUAUUUAUAAACAAAGUAUAAAUAAUUUGUAAACAACAAACUAUCAUAAAAAUUUAAUUUAACGUUUUAAAUCUAAAAAUUCAAAUAAUAUCUUUCCAUUGAAAUAGUUCAUUUUUUAUGUUUAUAAAUUUGUUAUCCCUUCAAUAAAAAUUUUAUCUUAUGAUUGUUACCGGUGUAGUUUUUUUUUUCAAAGGUAAUUUUUAUUUAAAAAUAUAUUAAAAUCAUAUUUUUUUAUUUUUAAAUUUAUUUUUAAUAUUAAUACAUUAAAAUUUUUUGAAAAUUAUAAUUUGAAGCAAAGACAAAAAAUAAUUUAUAAACUAUCAUAAUUAACAUAAUCAAGGAACUAACACAACUUGAUGUUGCAACGAAGUUGUGCUACUGGGUUGUCUGUUAUAGGACGUCAGACUCAACAAAUUUGGGUCUAGAAUGAACACCGGACCUAACACUCUUGGGUCUAGCAGCGCAGCCACAUCCAAGAUAGUUGGGUCUUGCUGGGUUGUCAAAUCAAAGAGCUGCGGUUACGGACUCGUAGACCUAAGAGUCUUGGGUUCUAAUACUGGACCCCAUAGCCUUGGGUCUUGACAUCAGAUCCAAAAGCCUUAGGUUGAUAUGCAAGGUCAUACCAAAGAGCCUUGGGCUGGCUACAACGCCGAACUCCACAGCCUAGCCUUGAAUUUGGCGUCUCGACCCAAGGCUCUUCGGUUUGACGUUUAAGAGAGACUCGAAGCUCACCCUGACAUUUCAGUCAGACCCACUUAAACUUGGGUCAACAAGUUUAAUAUUAUUAUUAAUAUUAAAAAUAUUAUUAUUUGUAUUAUAAUUAAUAUAAUAAUUAAUGAAAUUAAAAAAAAUAUUAAUAUUGAAAAACAACCAUAGAUAUUAUUUAAAGGGUAAAAUUAAAAAUUAUUAUUAUUAUCAUUAAUAAAUUUGAAAAAAAAUAUUAUUACUAUCGAAGAAAAACCAUAAAUUUGAUUUCAAAUGAUUAAAAACUAUAAGAACUCGGGUCAUGUGAGUUUUUUUAUUAUUAUUGUUGUUGUUGUAUUUGAAAAAAAAAUAUUAUCACUAUCAGAGAAAAAUCAUAAAGUUCAUUUAAAGGAAUUAAAAACUAUAAAAAGUUUGGUCAAACGAGUUUAAUAUUAUUAUUAAUAUUAUAAAUAUUAUUAAAUUUGAAAUAAGUAUUAUUACUAUUGAAAAAAACAUCGAUUUGAUUUAAAGAGUAAAAUCAAUUAUUAUUAUUAUUAUUAUUAUUAUUAUUAUUGUUGUUAUUGUUAUUGUUGUUAUCAUUAUUAACUUGGGUCUUUCGCGUCUUUCGCGUCUUCUUCCAAACCCCGGUAACUUUUGGUUGGAAAGGGGUGUCUGACCUAAGUUGCUCCUAUUAUUAUUGUUGCUAAAUUUGAAAAAAAAUAUUAUUACUAUCGAAGAAAAACUAUAAAUAUUUGAAGGGAUUAAAAAUUAUAAAAACUUGGGCCAUACAAAUUUAACAUUAUUAUUAAUAUUGCAAAUAUUGUUAAAUUUGAAAUAAGUAUUAUUACUAUCGAAAAAAAAAAUUUGAUUUGAAGGGUGAAAUCAAUUGUUAUUGUUAUUAUUGUUAUUACUAUUAUUAACUUGGGUCUGGCAUUCCUUUCCAGACUCCAGUAACUUUGUUAUUAUGAUUAUUUGUAUUAUAUUUAAUAUUAUUAACGUAAUAAUUAAUAAAUUUGAAAAAAGAAUUUGAGUCAGAUAAAUUUAAUAUUAUUACUAUCGAAAAAAACAUUGAUUUGAUUUGAAGGGUAAAAUCAUUUAUUGUUGUUGUUAUUAUUAAUUUGGGUCUGGCAUCCUCUUCCAGAUCCAAGUCACUUAGGUCUUACAGUCCCGCCUAACCGAAGGCUUUUGGGUCUAGUGUUCGACCCAAGGCUCUUGGGGUCGUCGUUAGGACCCAAGACUCUAGGAUCAGGCAUCCGGACUCAAGACUCUUCGAUUUGGCAUCCGGACUCAGGCCUCAUGGGUCCAGCGUUGCAGUCAGACUUAAGGCUUUUGAGUCUGGCGUUUAAGGGGGUCCUAAAGCUCUUGGGUCUGGUGUUGGAGCGAAACUCAAACGCUCUUGGUUCAACAGUUUAAUAUUAUUAUUAAUAUUAAAAAUAUUAUUAUUUUUUUUUAUAAUUAAUAAAUUUGAAAAAAAUAUUUUUUCAUAUUGAAAACAACCAUAUAAUGCUACUGCUUCAUGCUUCUCGUUAGGCUUUUGCGUUCAUUUUUUUUAAUUUAAUUUUCUUUUUUUAAUGUAUAUUAACUUAAUUAUUGGAAUGCUUUUAAUUGAAUAUGAGAGUUGUUAACGACAACAAUAUAUCAUCAUCAGUGUCGCCGUCGCAACCGCCGAUAAUCCGAACCUGGAGAACAACAUUUCUCACUCUAAUUUCUCACUCUAAUGCCGCGUUUAUUUGCUGAAAAGUAGUUUUCUUUUGGAAAGUGAAUUCCGGGAAAGUUAAUGUUUCAUUUUUCUCAAGUUUAUUAAAAUAAUGAGGAACAAAUCUUACAAAUUAAAAAGUUGAAUGAGAAUGAAAUUGAAAAAAAAAAUAUAAUUUCAUAAAUUAUCUUAAAUAAAAUAAAUAAUAAUUAAAAUAAUAGAGAUCAAAUCUAAAAAAUAAAAAAAUGAAAGAUGAAGAAAUUAAAAUAAUAAUAAUUAACAUUUCAUAAAUUAUUUUAAAUAAAAUAAGUAACAAUCAAAAGAAUGAGAAUCAAAUUUGAUAGAUAAAAAACUCAAUAAAAAAAUGAUAAGGGAAAAAUAAAUAACAAUUAUAAAAAUAGAACCAAAGUUAAUAUAAAAAUUAAAUUUUAAGAGAUGAAAUUGAAAAAUAGAUAUUCAAAACAAAAUAUAUAUAGCAAUCAAAAUAUAUAUAGCAAUCAAAAGUUUGAUAAUCAAAUUUGAUAUAAUCAGCAAAUAAUAUGACAUUUCUAAUUUUUUCACAACUUCUUAAAAGUGUUUUCCGCCCAAAUUUUUUAGGAAAAUACUUUCCUGGAAACCAAACUAAAUUUUUCUUUGACUGAAAAUUGUUUUCCGUUUACCAACUUUUCUAAUGACAAACAAACAUAGAAAAAUAAUUUUCCAGAAACCACUUUUCAAAAACAAACAUAACCUAAGAGAAAAAACCCUAACAACUGAUUUACUCCUUAAUUACCCUCGCAUUUACUCACUAAUCAUUUUGUUUUAUCAAAUUACCUUUGAUUUGAUAUUCUAACUGGAAUUGGCGGCAAAUUCAUCACAAGAUUUCACUUCAGUGUAACCUAACAUUUCACAUUUGGUAAAAAUAAUUUAAAUUUUUAAUUUUUGUUAGUGUUAGUGAGUUUUUUAACUGAAUUUGAAUUUUUAAAUUAGGUUUAUGAUGUACGCCAAAGGCAACGCGUUUCGCUGCAAUUAAAUUCAAAUUCUUGGAGUGUUGCACUUGAUUCGCAUGCGAAAAUGCUGCAAUUCUUUUUCGGAAAAGCUGCUCUCGAAUGUAUAGAGACUGUAAGACAUUUUUGUGCUCCAAGGGCAUAACAAGAAAAUACAAAAGCAAUCCCAUCACAUAACAAAACUUCUAAAAACAGAAACUCUAGCAAGUAUCCAACAGAUGUUAUACUUGAAUUUUUUUUGAAAACCCAAAUAUUGAAAAAAGAAGCUUGAACGGAACUCCCACCAUGUAGAUGCAACUGGAAUCGCUCCCCUCAUUCUUCCUCAACCACAGUGCCCUUCUCACUUACGUAGAUACCAUCAAGAAAUUUUCGGAUAUCCUUGUUCUUGACAUGACAUUUCU